GACGAACGCUGGCGGCGUGCUUAACACAUGCAAGUCGAACGGAAAGGCCCUGCUUUUGUGGGGUGCUCGAGUGGCGAACGGGUGAGUAACACGUGAGUAACCUGCCCUUGACUUUGGGAUAACUUCAGGAAACUGGGGCUAAUACCGUAUAGGAGCUCCUGCUGCAUUGUGGGCGGUGGAAAGUUUCGGCGGUUGGGGAUGGACUCGCGGCUUAUCAGCUUGUUGGUGGGGUAGUGGCUUACCAAGGCUGUGACGGGUAGCCGGCCUGAGAGGGUGACCGGCCACAUUGGGACUGAGAUACGGCCCAGACUCCUACGGGAGGCAGCAGUGGGGAAUAUUGCACAAUGGGCGGAAGCCUGAUGCAGCAACGCCGCGUGCGGGAUGACGGCCUUCGGGUUGUAAACCGCUUUCGCCUGUGACGAAGCGUGAGUGACGGUAAUGGGUAAAGAAGCACCGGCUAACUACGUG
RNAcentral lists this ribosomal RNA (468 nucleotides) under uncultured bacterium. RNAcentral's name for it is "partial 16S ribosomal RNA". It matches the Rfam family "Bacterial small subunit ribosomal RNA", at positions 28 to 507 of the family's 1533-position model. The record is from RNAcentral.